UAUAUGUAUAUAUUUUAAGCUUUGUCGGUAAAGCUUUGGUGUUGAAACCGUGAAUUGAUUUGCUUCACACUAUCUUGAUCAAGAUAGUGUGAAGCUUUUGUGUUGAAGCUUUUGUGUGUCAAGCUUUUGUGGGUCAAGCUUUUGUAGGUGAAGCUUUUAUGGGUGAAGCUUUUGUGGGUGAAGCUUUUGUGUUGAAGCUUUUGUGGGUGAAGUUUUUGUGGGUGAAGCUUUUGUAUUGAAGCUUUUGUAGGUGAAGCUUUGGAGUUGAAGCUUUUGUUGGGUACCAUGAAUUGAUUUUUCUUCACACUAUCUUGAUCAAGAUAGUGUGAAGUUUUUGAGAAUUUGUAGUUGUCCUCCAUUGAUGAAGCUUUUAUGGGUGAAGCUUUUGUUGGGUACCAUGAAUUGAUUUUGGUUCACACUAUCUUGAUCAAGAUAGUGUGAAGCUUUUGAGAUUUUGUAGUUGUCCUCCAUUGAUGAAGCUUUGUUGAAUUUCCUUUUUUUUUUUUUUUUUUUUUUUUUUUUGGGAAACUAGAAAUUUGAAAAUGUGGGAAGGACAACAUAUACAAAUUUUUCUUUCACACUGUUGAGCAAGAGAUUGUGAUGCAAGCCACACUUUGUAGUAGUCGAAGGUUUGGAUGAACCAUAUAAAUGGAAUUUGCUUCGAAGGUUAAAGAAUUGUAGUUGCCCUCCAUUGCUUCGAAGCUUUUGUUGGCACCAUAAAUUGGUUUUGCUUCACACUGUCUUGAUCAAGAAUGUGUGAAGCUUUUAAGAAUUGUGGUUGAACACCUUUGAUGAAGCUUUUGUUGGCACCAUAAAUUGGUUUGCUUCACACUAUCUUCAUCAAGAGUGUGUGAAGCUUUUGAGAAUUGUGGUUGCCCUCCAUUGAUGAAGCUCUUGUUGGCACCAUAAAUUCAUUUUGCUUCACAUUGUCUUGAUCAAGAGUGUGUGAAGCUUUUGAGAAUUGUGGUUGAACUCCUUUGAUGAAGCUCUUGUUGGCACCAUAAAUUGGUUUUGCUUCACACUGUCUUGAUCAAGAGUGUGUGAAGCUUUUGAGAAUUGUGGUUGCCCUCCAUUGAUGAAGCUCUUGUUAGCACUAUAAAUUGAUUUUGCUUCACACUGUCUUGAUCAAGAGUGUGUGAAGCUUUUGAGAAUUGUGGUUGAACUCCUUUGAUGAAGCUCUUGUUGGCACCAUAAAUUGGUUUUGCUCCACACUGUCUUGAUCAAGACUGUGUGAAGCUUUUAAGAAUUGUGGUUGAACUCCCUUGAUGAAGCUCUUGUUGGCACCAUAAAUUGGUUUUGCUUCACACUGUCUUCAUCAAGAGUGUAUGAAGCUUUUGAGAAUUGUGGUUGCCCUCCAUUGAUGAACCUCUUGUUGGCACCAUAAAUUGGUUUCACUUGACACUGUCUUGAUCAAGAGUGUGUGAAGCUUUUGAGAAUUAUGGUUGAACUACUUUGAUGAAGCUCUUGUUGGCACUAUAAAUUGGUUUUGCUUCACACUGUCAUGAUCAAGAGUGUGUGAAGCUUUCUACGAGUUGUAGUGUUUGCAUUGUUAUAUAGGGGAAAUGUUUAAAGCAGAUGCAAAAGGGCUGAAUAGCUUGAUCUUCGUAUGCCAUGCACUGAAGUUGUUGUUGGCUUGCAAUAAGACUUUGUUGGUGACUAUAACUCUUGUUGGGCAUAAUUGCUCCCCUAGUUCAAUUGUCAAGCUUGAGGGUUUUUAAUUAUUUGUGAAUGCUAGGAGUUCAUAUGUACAAGUUGUACAACUCAUCUUCUGGUAGGUGGAAUGAAUGGUGAGUUGCUUUCAUCACUUGGUUGGUGGUACGAAGGUGAGUUCCUUCAUCACCUUUCAUCACAUUUUAUAACCUGGUUGGUGGCACAAGGAUGAGUUCCUUCUUCCCCUCGUUGGUGGCAUGAAUGGCAAGUUGCUAAAUGAUAUUAGAGUAUGGGUUGUACAUUUCAUCACCUGGUUGGUGGCAUGAAGAUGAGUUCCUUCUUGACCUGGCUGGUGGCAUGAGUGGCAAGUUGCCAAAUGAUAUUAGAGUAUGGGUCGUACAUUUCAUCACCUGGUUGGUGGCAUGAAGUAGAGUACUGGUGUGAGAAUUUCUUGACACACAAAUUAAACCCUCUUUUUGACAAUUGUAGUAUAAAUGUAAGUAGGGUAUCGUUCUAGGCCGGGGAUUAGGAGGGAUUGCUAAUCUAUUCUAAAAUAAUUUAAAAAUAUUAAACAAGACUCAAAGACACAAAAUUAGGCUAAAAACUCUAAUAACUCGAAACACACUUAAAAUGACUCAAAAUA
RNAcentral lists this long non-coding RNA (2293 nucleotides) under Malus domestica (apple). RNAcentral describes it as "long non-coding RNA (MDOM_LNC020270)". Lineage: Eukaryota; Viridiplantae; Streptophyta; Magnoliopsida; Rosales; Rosaceae. The record is from RNAcentral.